RNAcentral lists this long non-coding RNA (616 nucleotides) under Gossypium barbadense (sea-island cotton). RNAcentral describes it as "long non-coding RNA (GBAR_LNC002758)". Lineage: Eukaryota; Viridiplantae; Streptophyta; Magnoliopsida; Malvales; Malvaceae. The record is from RNAcentral.
UCUUGGCCCGGAUUACAUCAGCCCAAUAAACUAAACUAAAUAAGCCCAAACCCAAACCCAUUAGUCAAACUAGAGUUUCAGAAAAGCUGAAACCCUAGCUUGUCUUCUGCCACCAGCCACACCUGCUCUUUAAUGCCUCUGACGUUGCCUCAACACCGCCCUACCGUCCUCCAUAUUGCACCAUCACCUGCAAGCAGUAACAAGAAAAGACAGUAAGGGAAAAUAGUAGCAGUGUAAAUGGCUAUAUAAGCCGAAAAAAGUCAUGUAACGGGAUUUUUUUUUUCCUUUGAAAGCAAUAGAAGUAACCGAUUUCUCCAAAAAACGCAAAGAUCAAAGCAAGCUUUUGAAGAAAAAGAGAAAACAAAGCAAACACUAUAGGGUAUUGCUUCUUUCAUUAGCAUUUUUGUUUAUUUUGAAAAUACCCAUACACUAAACAGUUAUACACACAUACAUAUAUUUUUUUUUUCCAUUUAAAAAAAAGACAAUAUAUAUUUAUAUAUAAAAAUAUAAAAAAAUAGAAUAAAAAACUUACUUUUCAGGAUUUGCGGUGGCCGGCGACGGCGACGGCGACGGUGGUGGUGUGCGGUGGCCCUUCUGGCCGAGAUUUGGGGUUGCC